CGUAGUUCAUGUAUUGAUGGAGGCGUGGAGCCUGGAUGGGCAUGUGGCCUUGUUGGGCACAUGGACUUAUGAGCACGUGGCUCUGUAGGUGAUAGGAAUCAUCUGUUCUAGGGGGCGCAUGGCCGGAACAGAUAGUGGAGUAGUCGAUAUGCUGCAGGGAGCAUGGAGCUUCGAUAUGCUUUGAUGAGCAUGGAGUGUCCCUGUCGGUGAGCUGGAGAUCGUGGCCUGGGCCAGUAUGUGGAGUGUAGGCUUGCUGCAGAGAGCAUAGGACGUCAUCUUCAUGGUAGUAAUCGCCGGGAUCAGCCUGUCAUAGACCUCUCGUAGGAGAAGGUCUUCUCGGGGUGAAAUAUAGCCUUGGCGGCUGUCAAAUUCGUGAGCUCUGGAGAUGGAUGUUUUCUCUCAUAGAUGGACGUGGUCCCCCCUUCUUUAGGUUUAGAAACCUAUUUUUAUAGUGGAAGUCGUGCCUUUCUCUUAGGGUUUGGAAAUAUUCCAUAUAUCCUUAGAUAAUAGAAUAUUUCCAUUCUUCUCAAGGGCGGCUUAUCAUAUUAGAAUACUUCCUCUUUCUCUUGGAUUUAGGAAGAUUCCUUCUUCUCUAAGUUGGUUACCUGAUAAAUGGAAGAUUUCCAUUUAUCUUAAGGCAGGAGAAAGCACUUGGCCUGGAAGACGAAGGAAGGUCCUAGACUCGGGGACAAGGACCCGUGACCGGAGGCAGGACCCAGACCUGGGGGCAGGGACCCAGGACCCAGAGGCAGGAACCCGGACCUGGGGGCAGGGACCCAGGACCCAGAGGCAGGAACCCGGACCCUGGGGGCAGGGACCUAGAAGACGGAAGAUGGAGUAAUCUCUUCAUGGAAUAUUUUUCCCCAACAGUUUGCCCCUUAUUUUCUGGCUUCAUGUUUGAAGGCAGGAAAUAGCAUGACUUUCUUCAUAAGACUUUAUAAGUUACACUGUAGUAUCACGCUGCCUUGUCGGUCAUUCUCAAAUGCACUUGCGCUCGGUGUAAAAGGAUUUGCAGUCUGGUUGGAGAUGUAUGACCUUUGAUUUGGAUGACUUGUAAGACUUUCUUCUUCUGCUUUAUAAAGAUGAGACGUUGCCCCCAUGGUGGGGAUAGGCCGGAGUUGGCCGAAAGUUUGAUGGAGAAGCCGGGAACAUCGCCCUAAAGGGUGAUGCUUCUGAUCAUACCUGAGGUGCUUGUGCGGCUUCUGUAGCUAUACUCGGCCUCAGCUUAGGCAGGGCUCUCUGGUUCCACGAAUCGUGUUGAGGAGUGUAUUGGUCAGUACCCAGGAAUUCUGAGAGGGAGAAUCUUGGCGAGGCUAAGGAUCAGGAGGACGAAGAGGUUGAAUAAGACACGGAGGCCGAAACUGAGGAUCCUCAUGCUUGAUUCAAUUGGCCUUAAUUGUGCCUCUCGAGCUUGUAAAGGCUGUAAUGGACUUUCGGGAGGGUCUCCAUGCCGGUCUCCUUGUUGCGUUUAGCAUACUUGAUGCUCUUUGACGUGUUGAUGUUGUAGCUGUAGCUUCUUGCCUCGUCUCAGGAGUGUACCUUGACUUUUGGUAGGUGGGACGUUCAGCAUGUUUGUCUUGGUGCCUGGAGAUAACCUAGUUGAUUCUUGGUACCAGAGUAGAUCUCUUGGACUUGUUGUUUGCGGCGAGCAGUAAUUUCCACGCCGACUAAGGAAGGUGGAGAUACUAGUUGAACUCUGCCAUUGAUUCUUCGCCACUCUCAAUUAUGUAGUACUGCAAUCUGCCCCCGGAAGUAAACCACAAUCAAUGCUGGGAUAACCUUGCAUUGUGCUCUCAUGGAAUCUGGAGGAUCCUGGGCAUGCUCUCCCAAAAUUUGAAGGUUGAGAGGUACAUUCUUCUGAAACCCAUAGGUUCGGGGACGUGAUUCUUCUUAAACUGGAGGUUUGUGGGAACCGAAAUUCGCACUGUCGAUUUUUCGUUUAAAUUAGGAAAGUUAGGAAAACCCUAAUUUCCCAGAGGUUCCCGGAUAUCUGCUAAACCACACGCCAAGCAAUCAGAACACGCAAGUAAAGGCGAAAGGAAAUAAGAAAUCAUAAAAGAGAGCAAAAGGAGUUUUAUUCCGAAUUCGCGUAUGAGCUUUACAACAAGGUAGAAGCCUCGCUAUGAGAGCUAUUGGCGAGAUUCCUAGUUCUAACAACCUAAGACUUCAAAACCUAGUUGAGUCGCAGCUCGAAAUAACAAAAACGAAAAGUUGCCUAAUUGCUCUAAGUGCUAAGUUUGCACUACAAGAAAUAUGAGUAUUAGUAGCAGUUCGCGGUAGCACGAAUUCACGAACUGCCACCGAAAGUCCCAAAAUCUUAGCACUACUCUAUUAUAGCACUAAAUUUGCGUUAAGAUAAAAUUUCAUUAAGCGGGAAAGCAAAAAUCAUUAUAGGUGAAAAAAUAUUUUGGAGCCAACACUUGGUCAAUUUUGGGUUUCCUUUACAUUUUUGUGUUAAAAAAAAAUAGGUUUCUUAUCUCUUUGAUAAAAAAAAAAAAACUUUCUUAUCUCUAGUCGUCUCUGUCCCUCUCGAGUCUCAUCUCUGCGUUUCCCCCUUUACUCCAUCUCGAGCUCCACCACUCUGUGGUCUCCACUCACCCACAAUCGAACAAGGUGGCGCCUCUUGUCCACUCUCGAGCCUCACCGCCGUGCUAUUCUCAUCAAUCCACCGUGCUCUGCUUCACACCGCAACAGUCUGGCCGUCGUCGCCACGUCGGAGCUCUCAUCCAUCGCAAUCCAUCACUGUGUCCGUGACCAAACGACACCACGAUAGCACCUGCUCCAAAUCAAGCUUCUCUGGCGCGUUCUUGCUUCAACGGAAUCAUGCCUCACCGUCGGAAUCAAAGUGGAGAAGAGAAACAAUGGCGUUUCGACAAAAGGUUUGGCUUUUUCAAACCUUUUCAAAAGAGCUUUGAGAUGUCUCGUUUUCGAAAAUCGAUUUGUGGUUCUUGUUGUCUCUAUACGUUUUCAAUCAAUCAUUAUAGGACUCAUACAACUUCGAAAUCGAUUCUGGGUUAAGUCUCUGCGUUUUUGUUCCUUCUUUUACUCUGUCUCUUUGCGUGAAUCUAUGAGUGACUGUGAAAUCUUAGAGUAGCACUGCCUCUGUUUCCUUUCAUUUCUCUGCGUGAAUCUAUGAAUUAUAUCGUCAAGUUUCUGUUCAAGAACCGGAUUAAAUAACCCACUUGCUUACAGGUGCUGCUACCAAGUAGUGGGCAUUGGAAGAUGGUACUAACUCUGUCGCUAUGGCUAAGAGAAGUAGGUACAUAUAUAUGUGUUAUCUUUGCUCGUUUCUCUUUAUUGAGUGAGUUCCUGAUUUUUCAUUGCUGAAACUACAGUGAGAGCCAACUUUGAGUUUUUGAAGAAACUUGGAGUUGAUUGGUGGUGUUUCUACACCUGAGGUGCAGGUGGAGUUCUUCUUGUUUACGACAUCAGCAGACAGCAGACUUUUCAGAGCAUUGGUAGAUGGCUGAACGAGCUGCACACACACUCGGACAUGAACGUUGUGACGUUCUUCGUUCAUUCGUUACGAAUUGGAGUUGAUUGGUGGUGUUGUGUUUUACUUGUCUCUUGACAGGUGGUGUUGCGGAAACGCCUUGCCCAUAUCAAAAGAGAAGUUGAUAAAAAGAUGGUGGAGAAGAGAAGUUGGUUUCUUGUGUUCUUCUGUGUCAAGCUUUGAUCUGAGUUAAGUGAGAUUCGGUUUGGAUUAGAUGGUGAAGGAAACAGAGUAAUAUGAUGUGCUCGGCGUUAGCCCAAGUGCUACUGAGUCUGAGAUCAAGACUCAGUUUGUUUAUGACUAGAUUUGAUGGUUAUAUGUUCUUUUAUGGAGUUCGUGUGUUUCAUGUAUUGAUUUUGUAUGUUUUGAUUCUUUGAUGGAAAAACAUGUGGUAUUAUAUGAUUUAUUUGUGUUUUAUUAGAGUAAAUUAUAUUUAUUAA
This is a long non-coding RNA of Brassica napus (rape), 3933 nucleotides long. RefSeq lists it as uncharacterized. The record is from RefSeq and is a predicted model, not a curated record. The transcript has 2 exons. Lineage: Eukaryota; Viridiplantae; Streptophyta; Magnoliopsida; Brassicales; Brassicaceae.